AUAAUAUCAACGUCCCAAUUUACUUGACUCUAUGAAAUGUUUUGCAAAUUCAUUCUAUGAAUGUCCAUAGACCAUGACCUUGUGCCCUUGGUAUUCCUCUAGCUACACUUUAUGUUCUUCUCUACAACAUUGUGCACUGUGAAGAAAACAACAAUUCUCCAUCCUGCAAUCUCCACUACACACUUCCCUCCACCAAUCCAAUCAAUUUUAAUUUAAACUAUUAUCAUUGCUAUUUAAAAAAAAAAUUACAAAAAAAAGAAUGAAAGAUGAACAGUCAACAUGUACAUAUCCACCACUUCAAAGUGCAUAAUGAGGAAAGACUAUUGGUCUUCACAAUACAUAAUAUUGUAGAGAAUAAGAUAAAAUGUCAAUAAAGAGAAUAAUAAACAAACAGAAG
Molecule: long non-coding RNA, 397 nt
Filed under: Cicer arietinum (chickpea)
Lineage: Eukaryota; Viridiplantae; Streptophyta; Magnoliopsida; Fabales; Fabaceae
Description: long non-coding RNA (CARI_LNC001241)
Source: RNAcentral